This 200-nucleotide ribosomal RNA is filed under the name uncultured bacterium. RNAcentral describes it as "partial 16S ribosomal RNA". It matches the Rfam family "Bacterial small subunit ribosomal RNA", at positions 29 to 222 of the family's 1533-position model. The record is from RNAcentral.
AGUGAACGCUGGCGGUAGGCCUAACACAUGCAAGUCGAACGGCAGCACAGGAGAGCUUGCUCUCUGGGUGGCGAGUGGCGGACGGGUGAGGAAUACAUCGGAAUCUACCUUUUCGUGGGGGUAUAACGGUAGGGAAACUUACGCUAAUACCGCAUACGACCUACGGGUGAAAGUGGGGGACCGCAAGGCCUCACGCGAUU